Molecule: ribosomal RNA, 860 nt
Filed under: uncultured bacterium
Lineage: Bacteria
Description: bacterial SSU rRNA
Rfam family: Bacterial small subunit ribosomal RNA
Source: RNAcentral
GAUCCGAGCGUUAUCCGGAUUUAUUGGGUUUAAGGGAGCGUAGGCGGACGCUUAAGUCAGUUGUGAAAGUUUGCGGCUCAACCGUAAAAUUGCAGUUGAUACUGGGUGUCUUGAGUACAGUAGAGGCAGGCGGAAUUCGUGGUGUAGCGGUGAAAUGCUUAGAUAUCACGAAGAACUCCGAUUGCGAAGGCAGCCUGCUGGACUGUAACUGACGCUGAUGCUCGAAAGUGUGGGUAUCAAACAGGAUUAGAUACCCUGGUAGUCCACACAGUAAACGAUGAAUACUCGCUGUUUGCGAUAUACAGUAAGCGGCCAAGCGAAAGCGUUAAGUAUUCCACCUGGGGAGUACGCCGGCAACGGUGAAACUCAAAGGAAUUGACGGGGGCCCGCACAAGCGGAGGAACAUGUGGUUUAAUUCGAUGAUACGCGAGGAACCUUACCCGGGCUUAAAUUGCAGAUGAAUUACGGUGAAAGCCGUAAGCCGCAAGGCAUCUGUGAAGGUGCUGCAUGGUUGUCGUCAGCUCGUGCCGUGAGGUGUCGGCUUAAGUGCCAUAACGAGCGCAACCCUUGUUGUCAGUUACUAACAGGAUUUGCUGAGGACUCUGACAAGACUGCCAUCGUAAGAUGUGAGGAAGGUGGGGAUGACGUCAAAUCAGCACGGCCCUUACGUCCGGGGCUACACACGUGUUACAAUGGGGGGUACAGAGGGCCGCUACCACGCGAGUGGAUGCCAAUCCCAAAAACCUCUCUCAGUUCGGACUGGAGUCUGCAACCCGACUCCACGAAGCUGGAUUCGCUAGUAAUCGCGCAUCAGCCACGGCGCGGUGAAUACGUUCCCGGGCCUUGCACUCACCGCCCGU